GACGAACGCUGGCGGCGUGCUUAACACAUGCAAGUCGAACGGAAAGGCCCUGCUUGCAGGGUACUCGAGUGGCGAACGGGUGAGUAACACGUGGGUGAUCUGCCCUGCACUUCGGGAUAAGCCUGGGAAACUGGGUCUAAUACCGGAUAGGAGCCAUUUUUAGUGUGAUGGUUGGAAAGUUUUUUCGGUGUAGGAUGAGCUCGCGGCCUAUCAGCUUGUUGGUGGGGUAAUGGCCUACCAAGGCGGCGACGGGUAGCCGGCCUGAGAGGGUGGACGGCCACGUUGGGACUGAGAUACGGCCCAGACUCCUGCGAGAGGCAGCAGUGGGGAAUAUUGCACAAUGGGCGCAAGCAAGAUGCAGCGACGCCGCGUGGGGGAUGACGGCCUUCGGGUUGUAAUCUCCUUUCGCUAGGGACGAAGCUUUUUGUGACGGUACCUAGAUAAGAAGCACCGGCUAACUACGUG
This 465-nucleotide ribosomal RNA is filed under the name uncultured bacterium. Its description in RNAcentral is "partial 16S ribosomal RNA". It matches the Rfam family "Bacterial small subunit ribosomal RNA", at positions 28 to 507 of the family's 1533-position model. The record is from RNAcentral.